RNAcentral lists this unclassified non-coding RNA (305 nucleotides) under plant metagenome. Its description in RNAcentral is "partial contains 5.8S ribosomal RNA, internal transcribed spacer 2, and large subunit ribosomal RNA". The stretch from base 1 to 105 matches the Rfam family "5.8S ribosomal RNA", at positions 50 to 154 of the family's 154-position model. The record is from RNAcentral.
GAAAUGCGAUAAGUAAUGUGAAUUGCAGAACUCAGUGAAUCAUCGAAUCUUUGAACGCACAUUGCGCCCGCCAGUAUUCUGGCGGGCAUGCCUGUUCGAGCGUCAUUUCAACCAUCAAGCCCCCGGCUUGUGUUGGGGACCUGCGGCUGCCCGCAGGCCCUGAAAAACAGUGGCGGGCUCGCUGUCACACCGAGCGUAGUAGCAUACAUUCUCGCUCAGGGCGUGCUGCGGGUUCCGGCCGUUAAACGACCUUCAUAACCCAAGGUUGACCUCGGAUCAGGUAGGAAGACCCGCUGAACUUAAGC